This 169-nucleotide ribosomal RNA is filed under the name uncultured Methylobacterium sp. RNAcentral describes it as "partial 16S ribosomal RNA". It matches the Rfam family "Bacterial small subunit ribosomal RNA", at positions 338 to 524 of the family's 1533-position model. The record is from RNAcentral. Lineage: Bacteria; Pseudomonadati; Pseudomonadota; Alphaproteobacteria; Hyphomicrobiales; Methylobacteriaceae. RNAcentral also lists the same sequence under 1 other name.
CCUACGGGAGGCAGCAGUGGGGAAUAUUGGACAAUGGGCGCAAGCCUGAUCCAGCCAUGCCGCGUGAGUGAUGAAGGCCCUAGGGUUGUAAAGCUCUUUUGUCCGGGACGAUAAUGACGGUACCGGAAGAAUAAGCCCCGGCUAACUUCGUGCCAGCAGCCGCGGUAAU